Molecule: ribosomal RNA, 445 nt
Filed under: uncultured bacterium
Lineage: Bacteria
Description: partial 16S ribosomal RNA
Rfam family: Bacterial small subunit ribosomal RNA
Source: RNAcentral
GUGAGGAAUAUUGCGCAAUGGAGGCAACUCUGACGCAGCCAUGCCGCGUGCAGGAAGAAGGCGCUACGCGUUGUAAACUGCUUUUAACCGGGAAGAAACCCCAGGACGUGUCCUGGGUUGACGGUACCGGAGGAAUAAGCACCGGCUAACUUCGUGCCAGCAGCCGCGGUAAUACGAAGGGUGCAAGCGUUAUCCGGAUGCAUUGGGUUUAAAGGGUGCGUAGGCGGAGCGUUAAGUCAGUGGUGAAAUCCUGCAGCUUAACUGUAGACUUGCCAUUGAUACUGGCGCUCUUGAGUGCGCUUGAAGUGGGCGGAAUGUGCCGUGUAGCGGUGAAAUGCUUAGAUAUGGCACAGAACACCAAUUGCGAAGGCAGCUCACUAAGGCGAUACUGACGCUGAGGCACGAAAGCGUGGGGAUCGAACAGGAUUAGAAACCCUGGUAGUCC